AGCAGCCGCGGUAAUUCCAGCUCCAAUAGCGUAUAUUAAAGUUGUUGCAGUUAAAAAGCUCGUAGUUGAAUUUCGAGAUCAAAUUGUUGGUCGUGCCUUGGUACGCACUGGCAUUAUUGGUUUCUCCCUUCUGACGAACCAUGAUGUCAUUAAUUUGGUGUCUUGGGGAAUCAGGACUGUUACUUUGAAAAAUUAGAGUGUUUAAAGCAGGCUCACGCUUGAAUACAUUAGCAUGGAAUAAUGAAAUAGGACGUUUGAUUCUAUUUUGUUGGUUUCUAGGAUCGACGUAAUGAUUAAUAGGGAUAGUUGGGGGCAUUAGUAUUCAAUUGUCAGAGGUGAAAUUCUUGGAUUUAUUGAAGACUAACUACUGCGAAAGCAUUUGCCAAGGAUGUUUUCAUUAAUCAAGAACGAAAGUUAGGGGAUCGAAGACGAUCAGAUACCGUCGUAGUCUUAACCAUAAACUAUGCCGACUAGGGAUCGGAUGAUGUUAAUUUUUA
This 497-nucleotide ribosomal RNA is filed under the name uncultured Glomus. Its description in RNAcentral is "SSU rRNA". It matches the Rfam family "Eukaryotic small subunit ribosomal RNA", at positions 569 to 1072 of the family's 1831-position model. Lineage: Eukaryota; Fungi; Glomeromycota; Glomeromycetes; Glomerales; Glomeraceae. The record is from RNAcentral.